AUGAAUGAAAAAAUAGCAGUAAAAUUGCCCCAAAUAAAACUGUCCCUUUCAAACUUAGCUGCAGGAGUCACGUGUUCCACUCUGGGGUACUUCAGUGCUUCCUUGGCUGCAUUCUGCAGAAACUUGAGGCUCAAUGACGGCUUCCCACUUUUCUUCUUUCCCUAUUUUUAUUUACACUUUCCCUUUUUCUUUCCUCUUUUCUUUCUUUCCCUAUUCUUUCCAACUCCCCCACCUCCUUUUUUUUUGGAAAAAUACAUCCACCGAUCAUGUAAAUACAUCCAUUGAUCAUGUAGCAAAGCUAAGCUAAAAAAUGUGUGUACUUGGAUUAUUCUACAUGUGAGUCUUGUGGGGAAAAAUUAGAGUGAAGGGUUCAAGGUCUCCCACGUUGAUUUGAUAGCAAAUCCUGUACUUCAGGAAACAGUGGUCUAAAUAGGUGGACAACCACCGCUCACAUUAGUCCACCCAACAUGGUCCAGUUAGAGAUUUUUUAGGAAGUAAGUACUCAUUAUCCUUUUUUGCAUAUCCUCACAUUUUGAACUUUUUAGGUCUCCUUGCGGCGGCAGCAAGUGGGUGAAAGACUGAAUGAAUGGGCAGUCUUCAGUGAGAAGAACAAGGAGCUCUGUGAAUGGUUGACUCAGAUGGAAAGCAAGGUCGCUCAGAAUGGAGAUAUUCUCAUUGAAGAUAUGAUACAGAAGCUCAGAAAGGUAUGGGAUGCUACCCAUGUUUUCACUCUUCUUUGUGUGCAAAAAGUUCAGGCAUCUCUCAGUAAUCCUGGACAUGAGUCCUGCAAACCCUGCAAAUGUCAACAUCUGUGGGUGCUCAAGUCCCUUAUGUAAAACAAUGUAGUAUUUGCAUAUAACCUGCCAGUUCUCCCAUAUGCUUAAACCGUCUGUAGAUUACUUACAUGACCAAAUCCAAUGUAAUACUUUGUCAAUAGAUGUUAUACUGGAUUGUUUAGGGAAUGAUGACAACAGAAAUAAUCUGUGUAUGUUCAGAACAGGCACAAUUUUCCCCCAAAUAUUUUAAAUCUGAAGUUGGUAGAAACCCACAGAUGUGGGAUCCAUGGAAAAGAGGGCCAGCUUACUCACAGUUACUGUCUGGGAAAAGCAAUGCUAUAUUUUAAACAUUUCAUCUUUUAAAAAUAAACUUUCAUGGCAAAACUUACUUUAUUUCUAA
RNAcentral lists this long non-coding RNA (1176 nucleotides) under Oryctolagus cuniculus (rabbit). Its description in RNAcentral is "lncRNA (ENSOCUG00000031777.1)". Lineage: Eukaryota; Metazoa; Chordata; Mammalia; Lagomorpha; Leporidae. The record is from RNAcentral.